GAGGAACGCUGGCGGCGUGCCUAAUACAUGCAAGUCGAGCGAACAGACCAGGAUUUUGCCCCGCUUCCGUUAGCCCCGGACGAGUUAGUAACAGUUGCAGAACCUACCUAUUAGACUGGGAUAACUUCGGGAACCCGGAGCAAAUCCCGGGUAAUAUCUUGAACCGCAUGGUUCAAUACACUAAUACGGUUUUGCUGUCACUUAUAGACGGUUUCGCGCCGCAUUAGCUAGUUGGUAAGGUAACGGCUUACCAAGGCGACGGUGCCUAGCCGACCUGAGGGGGUGAUCGGCAACACUAGAACUGAGCCACGCUCCAGACUCCUACGGGAGGCAGCAGUAGGGAAUCUUCAGCAAUGGGCGAAAGCCUGACGGAGCAACGCCGCGUGAGUGAUGACGGUAUUCGGAUCGUAAAACUCUGCUAUUAGGGAAGAACAAAUGUGUCAGUAACUAUGCACGUCUUGACGGUACCUAAUAAGAAAGCCACGGCUAACUACGUG
RNAcentral lists this ribosomal RNA (497 nucleotides) under uncultured bacterium. RNAcentral's name for it is "partial 16S ribosomal RNA". It matches the Rfam family "Bacterial small subunit ribosomal RNA", at positions 28 to 507 of the family's 1533-position model. The record is from RNAcentral.